Molecule: ribosomal RNA, 504 nt
Filed under: Triticum aestivum (bread wheat)
Lineage: Eukaryota; Viridiplantae; Streptophyta; Magnoliopsida; Poales; Poaceae
Description: partial small subunit ribosomal RNA
Source: RNAcentral
GACGGGAGACGAAAAAUGCACUGGUGUUCUUGGGAGUGGCUAACUACUCCUAUAGCACUCGGUGGCAUGGGUUUUCGCGAUAUGGCACUAUUUAAUUUGGCUAUUGUCGCCAAGCAGGGAUGGCGGUUACUAACGGAUCUAGAGUAUCUUUCUGCUCGUGUCUUGAAGGGACGAUAUUUUCCUACUUCAGAUUUCUGGAAUGCUUUGGCACCAAGGUCAACGUCUGCUACUUGACGUGCAAUUUUGGCUGGUCAGGAUCUGCAGAAGGGUGUCAGGUGGGGCAUUCGCAAUGGUGAAAAUGUGUGUAUACUCUCGGAUCAUUGGAUCCCCUCGACUCCACCACAACGCCUUCAUCCUCUGUUGCCUAUACCUGCAAAUGCCAAGGUAAAAUGCUUGAUUGAUGAGGAAAUUGAUUCAUGGAAUGUGGAUGCGGUCAAUGCUUUCUUCCGUGAUGAUAUGCUGCAGAGAUACUACAUAUUCCUAUUAGCAGGUAUGGUGGAAUAG